This 307-nucleotide unclassified non-coding RNA is filed under the name plant metagenome. RNAcentral describes it as "partial contains 5.8S ribosomal RNA, internal transcribed spacer 2, and large subunit ribosomal RNA". The stretch from base 1 to 105 matches the Rfam family "5.8S ribosomal RNA", at positions 50 to 154 of the family's 154-position model. The record is from RNAcentral.
GAAAUGCGAUAAGUAAUGUGAAUUGCAGAAUUCAGUGAAUCAUCGAAUCUUUGAACGCACAUUGCGCCCGCCAGCACUCUGGCGGGCAUGCCUGUUCGAGCGUCAUUUCAACCCUCAGAACCCCUUGCGGGAUCUGGCGUUGGGGAUUGGCAUCCAGCCAGCCCCGAAAGCUAGUGGCGGUCCCUCCGCGACCUCCUCUGUGCAGUAGCGAUACCUCGCAGCGGGACAGCGGUCUGACCACGCCGUAAAACCCCCAACUUCUCAAGGUUGACCUCGAAUCAGGUAGGAAUACCCGCUGAACUUAAGC